Molecule: ribosomal RNA, 2393 nt
Filed under: Triticum aestivum (bread wheat)
Lineage: Eukaryota; Viridiplantae; Streptophyta; Magnoliopsida; Poales; Poaceae
Description: partial small subunit ribosomal RNA
Source: RNAcentral
UUUUUUGGAUGCUUUUUUUAGGUCCUGAGCGUGCGUGCUCGCUCUGACGGGAGCUCCCCUCCGGGGGUCUAGGGAAGCGGCGGUCUAGGGAGGAGGGUAGCGGACGGGAGGAGCGCUAGGAGGGCUGCAGGAGCGCGGUGGCAGGAGAAGAAGAGACGCUGAGGAGACACGGGGUACGGGACUGGCUGCGGCCGCUCAGGAGCAGUGAGGUGCACGCGGAGCGUAGGUUGCGGCCCCUCCUAGCGCACUGAGGCGGGCGCAGCAGCGGAGGCUGCGGCCGGAGAGGAAGUGGUGGCGGGGACGGCCGUCCCAGGGGGAGCAGUACCGGAAGGAGCGGACCCACAUGUAGCGGUCGGCCGGUAUACCGUCCUGCGCGUCUGGGCCCGCUAGGAGAGGCCGGAGGAACUCUUCUCGUGGCCGUUAUUUCUCUGUGACUAGCGACCGCUUUGUAUACUGGUUCUCAGGGGCCCUGGAUGUAGUAGCUCAUUAUUGGUCGGAGUUAGUGAACGGGUCCGACGAGGUCGUCAUCACUCCUACGGAACGUCAUACUAUGAACUAUGGUACGAUUGUCUUGACAAAAAUGGCUUCCAACUUAUUGCGGCCUUUUAUAUACCACCAUCGUUCCAGACGCAGUGACAGAAAAAUCGUGAGGAUACGAUUAGAUGGGCACGUAGGUAUAGACCUCAGGAGAAGUAUACUACUACGUCUUCUCGUCUGACGACGAUAACUUCGGUUUCCACGAACCUUUUGUGUCGAUUAUGUCUCUAGACUCUGAUGUUAAUUUUGGUAUCCUCCGCGGAGGUCUUGGUCUUACUCAUCGAGUACGUGGAUGAGUUGUAUCACUUACACUCGACGAGUAAGACCAAAAUCUACGCGAAGGAUACCAAUUAGAACUGGAACUUACCCCCACCUCCGACCUAACGCUCGGUCUACGGGGUAGUUGUCCCCGCCAUUUCCUCUUCUUCUAUCAACACCUCCGACCUAACGCUCGGUCUACGGGGUAGUUGUCCCCGCCAUUUCCUCUUCUUCUAUCAACAAAUUGCCACUGAAACGAGUUCACUGUAUGGUCUGGGUAGAACAAUUAGAAGUAAUAGAAGCGGCUUCUUCCUUUUUAUUUUAACUAUUGGAGUAGUCCGUCACUUCUAACGUACCGGUCAGAGACAAAACACGUACGAUCCACUCGUAGUACUUGACAAUAUGAACGGAAUGCUCAUAAAAAGGAAAUUAGUCUACGAGUGUAUAUAAAGACACUUAUUUAUCUAGAAAAGUAAAAGAACAACCCUUUUUUCUGGUACAUUAGGAAGGGCGGUGUCGGAUUACACCCAACGUACGGAAUCGUACACGGACUAGGAAUAUCUCAAACUCCCGUCGAUGAUCUGAAUUACUAAACCGUUUAUAUAUAAAUUCCCACUUAUUCCUGUAAAUUUAGUAAAGAAUAUGGUACUUGUAGUAUUUUUCGUCUAACCCGUACACCUCUAUACAUUCGCAUGUAUCAACUAUGUAAAAGGAAAACAACUAGUAAACGAACUACGAACAAGACGCCUAACCUCAAACAAGAGUUUCUUUCUCUUGACUAGGGACCGCUUUGUAUACUGGUUCUCAGGGGUCCUGGAUGUAGUAGCUGAUUAUUGAUCGUAGUUUGUCGACGGGUACAGUCGAUAGAAAGAGUUUGGUCAUAAAAAACCAAGCUAGUAAGCGGUGUAGUACACUGUAGCGUACCCCGUAGUCAUCGCUGGGUGUGUGACCGCGUUCCUACACUUCUACCCCUGUAGUUCACGUAUGGUCUGUCUUCUGGAGUGGAGUAAAGAGGUUUGACAGACUCGUCACACGUUCUUUCGACUUCUGUAAACUUCUUUCGUAACAGCCUAUACACCAUAGGACUAGGAGAAUGAACCCUGACCCUAUUCCUCCGUGUUGUAAAUUAUCCAAUGACUUCUAAACGCUACCACUUUUUACGGUUACAGUCGAUCCAUUUCGCUUCCUACAAAAGGGGUGGUACCUAUAGAAUAAUACAGUUGGACGAGAACUCAUAGUUUCUCUACCUCUCCAUAAUACAGCUACAAGUUUUCUCAGGGUUCCGUUACAGUAACCUUCCCCGGUUUUUUAAAGGCUCGAAAUAUGUUGUUAUAACCUAUACGUUCGUCUUUUUUUUCCGAUUCUGGGUGAAACCAAGUAUCCUUAUAUUUUGAACAUCCUUUACUCUACAGUACAUAGAGUUUAGGAUACUUAUCAUUAUCUUUUUCUCUACAGGAAAGUAAGUAUAGUAAACUAAAAAGAUAACUCAGAUCCAUUUAUAAUAAAAGUAUACUUUACACUUCCUAUCUUUCUUAAACAAGGUAUCCUUAUACUAAGAUAAGGAUGUUUGGUUUCCUUGUAAAAAAAGAUAUCUUUAG